ACAAAGAUACUUUGACAGUAUGGGACGUUGAGAAAGGGUGAACAUUUCAUUGUAAAUCCCACUGGUGAGAAACUUCCUGACUUAGAUCCUGAUUCCCAAACUUCGUUUUUUCCUCUUGAUCCUUUUGAUGACAACAGAUCAAGCUUUUCCUUUAAGGGUUCCUGUACAAUGCGUGAAAAUCAUCUUGCCACAAGGAUCAAUUUGAUCUUUGAUGUGAAAAGUUCUCACCAUUUUGGAUAAUGACUAUAUUAUCUUAAAGAAAAUUUUGCUCAGCUUUUAUGCAUGAUCCCUAUCAUUGUUGACAUUUCAAUAAAUGUCUGUUUGCGUAUGAUUUCAUGAAACGACCUUUGUCUAAUUUUUAUUGUUCUGUACAGAGACCGCAGUGUACGAUAAUGUCAACAUUGAGAGAGAUCAUG
Molecule: long non-coding RNA, 416 nt
Organism: Xenia sp. Carnegie-2017
Lineage: Eukaryota; Metazoa; Cnidaria; Anthozoa; Malacalcyonacea; Xeniidae
Exons: 3
Source: RefSeq, a predicted model, not a curated record